GAUGAACGCUAGCUACAUGCUUAACACAUGCAAGUCGCGGGGCAGCAUGGGGGUGGCUUGCAACCCCUGAUGGCGACCGGCGUACGGGUGAGUAACGUGUAUCGAACCUGCCCUUCACCACGGGAUAACCCGGCGAAAGUCGGACGAAUACCGUAGGUGGUCCAUUGACGGCAUCCGAUUAUGACGAACGGCGUGGCUGUGGAGGGGUGGGGAUGGGUUCGAUUAGCUUGUCGGCGGGGUACCUGCCCACCGGUGGUACGAUCGGUAGGGUGUGUGAGAGGAAGGUCACCCAGACUGGAACUGAGACACCGUACAGACUCCUAAGGGAGGAAGCAGUGAGGAAUAUUGGUCAAUGGGAGUAAGCCUGAACCAGCCAAGUAGCGUGCAGGAUGACGGCGGUAUGGGUAGUAAACUGCUUUGAUGCGGGGAUAAAGUGGCCAACGUGUGGGGUUUUGCAGGUAACGCAUGAAUAAGGACCGGCUAAAUCCGUG
Molecule: ribosomal RNA, 491 nt
Filed under: uncultured bacterium
Lineage: Bacteria
Description: partial 16S ribosomal RNA
Rfam family: Bacterial small subunit ribosomal RNA
Source: RNAcentral